UACGAAGGGUGCAAGCGUUACUCGGAAUUACUGGGCGUAAAGGGUGCGUAGGUGGUCGUUUAAGUCCGUUGUGAAAUCCCAGGGCUCAACCCUGGACAGGCGGUGGAAACUACCAAGCUGGAGUACGGUAGGGGCAGAGGGAAUUUCCGGUGUAGCGGUGAAAUGCGUAGAUAUCGGAAGGAACACCUGUGGCGAAAGCGGCUCACUGGACCAUUGCUGACGCUGAUGCACGAAAGCUAGGGGAGCAAACAGG
This 253-nucleotide ribosomal RNA is filed under the name uncultured bacterium. RNAcentral describes it as "partial 16S ribosomal RNA". It matches the Rfam family "Bacterial small subunit ribosomal RNA", at positions 524 to 776 of the family's 1533-position model. The record is from RNAcentral.